RNAcentral lists this ribosomal RNA (677 nucleotides) under uncultured bacterium. Its description in RNAcentral is "bacterial SSU rRNA". It matches the Rfam family "Bacterial small subunit ribosomal RNA", at positions 28 to 701 of the family's 1533-position model. The record is from RNAcentral.
AACGAACGCUGGCGGCGUGCUUAACACAUGCAAGUCGAGUGCACAGUUUGCGUAGCAAUACGUAGAUGGGUGCACGGCGCACGGGUGCGUAACACGUGGGCAAUCUGCCCUCCGAUGGGGAAUAACCCCGCGAAAGCGGGGCUAAUUCCGCAUAAUAUUCCCUGGACCUCGGUUUGGGGAUUCAAAGCCGUAAGGCGUCGGAGGAGGAGCCCGCGCCCGAUUAGCUAGUUGGUGAGGUAAUGGCUCACCAAGGCAAUGAUCGGUAGCUGGUCUGAGAGGAUGGCCAGCCACACUGGAACUGAGACACGGUCCAGACUCCUACGGGAGGCAGCAGUGGGGAAUCUUGCGCAAUGGGCGAAAGCCUGACGCAGCGACGCCGCGUGGGGGAUGAAGCUUCUCGGAGUGUAAACCCCUUUCGACUGGGACGAAUGCCUCGCAAGAGGAGUGACGGUACCAGUAGAAGAAGCCCCGGCUAACUACGUGCCAGCAGCCGCGGUAAGACGUAGGGGGCCAGCGUUGUUCGGAAUUACUGGGUGUAAAGGGUUCGUAGGCGGUGCGGCAAGUUGGGAGUGAAAUCUCUGGGCUUAACCCAGAGGCUGCUUCCAAAACUGCCGUGCUCGAGUGUGGGAGAGGCGCGUGGAAUUGCAGGUGUAGCGGUGAAAUGCGUAGAUAUCUGC